GCAAUAAUAGAUCGAAGACGAAGGCGAAAACGACAAAGAGAAAAAAAUUCAAAAGAACCCAGCGACAUCGGCGAAUUCGACGAAGAAGAAAGACCUCUCAAGAACCGAUCUCUCAAGAAGAGAGCCCUGAGUUUCAGCUUCAGCGAAGAAAUAUCUCAAGUUCUUGUGUUCUAUUAGCGUGCAUCAAGUUGGCAGUGUUCUAUUAGCGCGCAUCAAAGAAGACCACAUUAUUUCAAACCUGAGGGUCAAUAAGGGGUUUCAACUGGAAGGAUGCCCUGGUUAGCCUGCAGAGACAUGAACCUGCGAUACGUGGACUACUUAAGUAUUACUUAGCGAGUAGAUUUCGUAAAACAUUCAUGACCUGGCUUCUUGUGGUGUAGGUAGCUGGGCAGCGGACACAUACACUAGCCGGUACAUUUAUUUGUCUUCAAAUGAAGUGUUCCUGGCACUCCCCUACGUGCUAUGUAUUUGCUAAAUCUUGAAAAUGCUCCUAUCCAUGUUAGAUUUGUACUGAAGAAGACCACAGAGCCUGUCAAUCAAGGUGAUCCGCGCCACAGACCUUAUUGUCAACUGGACAUACCAAAGCUUUUUUCAACCCUGAGAUUCCACAAGGAAACACAUGGUCUUCCCUGCUCAUCUUGUUAUUGUUGAUGUAUUGACCACUGCAGACACUUGAACCUGAUCCAAAAUGAAGGGUGCAUUGGUGAGCAUUCAGACCCUCGGACGUGCACCCAUAGAUCUAAAUGAUAA
Molecule: long non-coding RNA, 750 nt
Organism: Asparagus officinalis (garden asparagus)
Lineage: Eukaryota; Viridiplantae; Streptophyta; Magnoliopsida; Asparagales; Asparagaceae
Exons: 3
Source: RefSeq, a predicted model, not a curated record